RNAcentral lists this ribosomal RNA (447 nucleotides) under Triticum aestivum (bread wheat). Its description in RNAcentral is "partial small subunit ribosomal RNA". Lineage: Eukaryota; Viridiplantae; Streptophyta; Magnoliopsida; Poales; Poaceae. The record is from RNAcentral.
UGGACGGCGACGGCGAACUCCCCUUCGAUUUCUUCUCGCAGACGGCGUCUUCCGGUGCUGCGGCGCACCACAUCGACGAGGACGGGUGGGGGAUUACGCCCUCGUCUCCGGGGAUCCGCCGGCCGCGGCUUGGUGGCAGGGGCGCUCCGCGCUCCCAUCGGGUUGGAUAACAUCGACCUCAACGGCGACUCCGCCGUCGCCGCCUCCUACCCCAACCUGGGCAUGUACACGCAGCUUUUUCAUCCCGGGAGUGCGGCCGGCCAUGGUGUGCCCCUCCAGCGGACCAGAUCGGACGGCGUGGCGCAGCGGCAGGGUCGUCCACCUCGCCAAGGUCUCCUCCCAGUGAGGGCCCCAGAUCGUCGUGGCAAGCAGGUCGUCGCGACGUCGGGACGAGGUGGUGCUGGUUCAAGUCGCACAGGCAGCGGCAGGCAGCAUCGAUCAUGGUAG